RNAcentral lists this ribosomal RNA (497 nucleotides) under uncultured bacterium. RNAcentral describes it as "partial 16S ribosomal RNA". It matches the Rfam family "Bacterial small subunit ribosomal RNA", at positions 28 to 507 of the family's 1533-position model. The record is from RNAcentral.
GAUGAACGCUGGCGGCGUGCCUAAUACAUGCAAGUCGAGCGAACAGACGAGGAGCUUGCUCCUCUGACGUUAGCGGCGGACGGGUGAGUAACAUGUGGAUAACCUACCUAUAAGACUGGGGUGACUUCGGGAAACCGGAGCUAAUACCGGAUAAUAUAUUGAACCGGGUUGGGCAAUAGUGAAAGACGGUUUUGCUGUGACUUAUAGAUUGAUCCGCGCCGGAUUAGCUAGUUGGUAAGGUAACGGCUUACCAAGGCUAGGAUGGGUAACCGCCCUGAAGGGGUGGACGCACACCCUGGCAGAGAGGAACGGCCCAGACUCCUAGGGUGGGCAACAGUAGGGACUCUUACGGAAUGGACGAAAGCCUGACGGAGCAACGCCGCGUGAGGGAUGAAGGACUUCGGAUCGUAAAGCUAUGUAAUUCGUAAAGAACUAAUGUGUAAGUAACUAUGCACAUCUUGACGGUACCUAAACAGAAAGCCCCGGCUAACUACGUG